RNAcentral lists this ribosomal RNA (255 nucleotides) under uncultured bacterium. Its description in RNAcentral is "partial 16S ribosomal RNA". It matches the Rfam family "Bacterial small subunit ribosomal RNA", at positions 524 to 777 of the family's 1533-position model. The record is from RNAcentral.
UACGGAGGGUGCAAGCGUUAUCCGGAUUCACUGGGUUUAAAGGGUGCGUAGGCGGAUAGGUAAGUCCGUGGUGAAAUCCUGCAGCUUAACUGCAGAACUGCCAUGGAUACUAUCUAUCUUGAAUGUCGUGGAGGUUAGCGGAAUAUGUCAUGUAGCGGUGAAAAUGCUUAGAGAUGACAUAGAACACCCAUUGCGAAGGCAGCUAACUACGCGAUAAUUGACGCUGAUGCACGAAAGCGUGGGGAUCAAACAGGA